This is a non-coding RNA of Monodelphis domestica (gray short-tailed opossum), 801 nucleotides long. The record is from RefSeq and is a predicted model, not a curated record. Lineage: Eukaryota; Metazoa; Chordata; Mammalia; Didelphimorphia; Didelphidae.
UCACGUGGAUGUGUGGCCAAGAUGGAAUCGUACUGGUCACAGGUCCGGAUCCCAUCCAGUAGGUUGGUGACACACGCCCGCCACAGCCCCUGGCACUUGUGGCUUACCUGGGAGCGGACGAAGCAGGUAACCUGAGGAAGGGGGCAGUCCACUUCCACUCAAGGGAGGGAGCCUGCGGCUUCGUCAGGUUCACAGACGAGUCGUUUUUCCCUGCUUCAACCCUUAAGCUCCUCGAGGACAGGAUCUGCGGGUCACCCUCCCAGAUCUCUCGGGGUUCACCCUCCAGCCCCUCAUUCUUUAUUCUUUUCUCCCCCCACUUCCCCAGCAUUGAGCCUUAGCACCGAGGAGAACGCCUGGCCUCGGGAACCUUCUCUUAGUUUUCCUUGCACUGUGGCUGGGAAAUAAGCGGAUGCCAACAGAUAAGCGUCGCGCUAGAGAAAGCAUCGCUUUCCACCGAGUCCUUGUCCUGCCCGACCAGGUGGGCAAGGCAGGACCAGUUCAAGGCGUACGGGCGGGCUGGGAUUGGGGCCAGGAGGAGCGUUGGAAAGGGACCUCUACUGGGCUCGAAAUGACGGACGACGGUUGGAGACAGAGUAGGUCCUAGAAAGACGGACCGGAGCUUGGGAGUAGGACCGGGACCCGAAGGCUGUCGUCGGAGUUAACCACCCAGCAGUCGGUCCAAGUGGCUGUGAGCAGCAAGGCCGUAGAAAGCAGGGCCAGGCAGCCCUCCCUACCCUUCCUCCCCACCUCCAACCCACCGAGGGGCCGACCUGCGCAGACGGCUUCUGGACCAGGGCCUGG